AUUGAACGCUGGCGGCAUGCUUUACACAUGCAAGUCGAACGGUAACAGGGAGCUUGCUCCGCUGACGAGUGGCGAACGGGUGAGUAAUGCAUCGGAACGUACCGUGUAAUGGGGGAUAACGUAGCGAAAGUUACGCUAAUACCGCAUACGACCUGAGGGUGAAAGCGGGGAUCGCAAGACCUCGCGCGAUGGGAGCGGCCGAUAUCGGAUUAGCUUGUUGGUGAGGUAAAGCUCACCAAGCGACGAUCCGUAGCUGGUCUGAGAGGACGACCAGCCACACUGGAACUGAGACACGGUCCAGACUCCUACGGAGGCAGCAGU
This 321-nucleotide ribosomal RNA is filed under the name uncultured bacterium. Its description in RNAcentral is "bacterial SSU rRNA". It matches the Rfam family "Bacterial small subunit ribosomal RNA", at positions 30 to 355 of the family's 1533-position model. The record is from RNAcentral.